GUGGCAACACAUAGAUGUGGCGAACGGGUGAGUAACACGUGGGAACGUACCCUCUGCAGGGGGAUAACUGACCGAAAGGACAGCUAAUACCGCAUAAGACCGAUAGGAGAAAGGUGCAACAGCAUCGGCUAAGGAGCGGCCCGCGGACCAUCAGCUAGUUGGUGGGGUAAGAGCCUACCAAGGCAACGACGGAUAGCCGGCGUGAGAGCGUGGCCGGCCACAAGGACACUGAGAUACGGGUCCUACUCCUACGGGAGGCAGCAGUGCGGAAUUUUAGAUAAUGGAGGCAACUCUGAUCUAGCGACGCCCCGUGCAGGAAGAAGGUCUUCGGAUUGUAAACUGCUGUGGUAAGGGAAAAAUGCCAUGUAGAGUGGAAAGCUACAUGGAGGGAUGGUACUUUACUAGAAAGCCCCGGCUAACUAC
RNAcentral lists this ribosomal RNA (423 nucleotides) under uncultured bacterium. RNAcentral's name for it is "bacterial SSU rRNA". It matches the Rfam family "Bacterial small subunit ribosomal RNA", at positions 76 to 504 of the family's 1533-position model. The record is from RNAcentral.